RNAcentral lists this ribosomal RNA (497 nucleotides) under uncultured bacterium. RNAcentral's name for it is "partial 16S ribosomal RNA". It matches the Rfam family "Bacterial small subunit ribosomal RNA", at positions 28 to 507 of the family's 1533-position model. The record is from RNAcentral.
GACGAACGCUGGCGGCGUGCCUAAUACAUGCAAGUUGAGCGCUGAAGGUUGGUACUUGUACCAACUGGAUGAGCAGCGAACGGGUGAGUAACGCGUGGGGAAUCUGCCUUUGAGCGGGGGACAACAUUUGGAAACGAAUGCUAAUACCGCAUAAAAACUUUAAACACAAGUUUUAAGUUUGAAAGAUGCAAUUGCAUCACUCAAAGAUGAUCCCGCGUUGUAUUAGCUAGUUGGUGAGGUAAAGGCUCACCAAGGCGAUGAUACAUAGCCGACCUGAGAGGGUGACCGGCCACAUUGGGACUGAGACACGGCCCAAACUCCUACGGGAGGCAGCAGUAGGGAAUCUUCGGCAAUGGACGAAAGUCUGACCGAGCAACGCCGCGUGAGUGAAGAAGGUUUUCGGAUCGUAAAACUCUGUUGGUAGAGAAGAACGUUGGUGAGAGUGGAAAGCUCAUCAAGUGACGGUAACUACCCAGAAAGGGACGGCUAACUACGUG